RNAcentral lists this ribosomal RNA (253 nucleotides) under uncultured bacterium. RNAcentral describes it as "partial 16S ribosomal RNA". It matches the Rfam family "Bacterial small subunit ribosomal RNA", at positions 524 to 776 of the family's 1533-position model. The record is from RNAcentral.
UACGUAGGGUGCAAGCGUUAUCCGGAAUUAUUGGGCGUAAAGAGCUCGUAGGCGGUUUGUCGCGUCUGCUGUGAAAACUGGGGGCUCAACUCCGGAUCUGCGGUGGGUACGGGCAGACUAGAGUGAUGUAGGGGAGACUGGAAUUCCUGGUGUAGCGGUGAAAUGCGUAGAUAUCGUAAGGAAGACCAGUGGCGAAGGCGAAUCUCUGGACAGUUACUGACACUGAGGCACGAAGGCCAGGGGAGCAAACGGG